This 295-nucleotide long non-coding RNA is filed under the name Chinchilla lanigera (long-tailed chinchilla). RNAcentral describes it as "lncRNA (ENSCLAG00000022250.1)". The record is from RNAcentral. Lineage: Eukaryota; Metazoa; Chordata; Mammalia; Rodentia; Chinchillidae.
UUGGAGUUUAAGUGGAAAUGCUAUCAGCAGCCAGACCCUUGAUCAACACUGACAGCUUUCUAGAUAAGCUCCCUUCUGGUUCUCAGGCUCCCCGGGGGUUUCAUGCCUCCCUGGCAUGGGUGUGGUUUUCGCUCAACUGUGCCACAGUUGCUCGUGCCAGGAUGCCAGGGAAUGACUGGAUCAGAAAUAAUUAUUAACAGACACGUUAGGUGCCAGUGUACGCCAGGCACUCUUGUUAAUGCUGGUAAGUACACUUCUAUUUUUAGUUUAAGUUCAUGGUUGAGGAGCUACUAUC